AAUUAAACUUACAUGUAGAAUCAUUGCACAAUUUGCAAAUCAUCACCAUAAAUUCACAUCGCGGUUUCAAAAAAUUCCGAAAACUUGUUAAAUCUGAACAAAACCCUACCCGACCCGAAAGAACAAAUGUCAACGCCAUUAGAUCAUAGAACAUCAACACAAUUCAAAACUCAAAAGUUUAGAUCAUUCCGAUUUCAGAUCUCAAAACAUGCGAAAUUCACUUUUUGUUAACAAAUCAAUUACAUAAACUUGCUCCAAUAAAAAUUUAAAAAUUUCACAAGCAAAAAUCGGUACAAAUCUAAUUACAUCUGCAGAUAAGAAGACAAAUUCAUACAAAAGAUGGAAAAAAAUUCAUCAAAUAAAAAGUUAGAAGAGGAGAAAAAUACCUUAAGAAUGCUGAGAAUUAGGGAAAAUGGAUUCUCCGAUCUGGAAGGAAAAUGGAUUAGAAUUUUUUUGACCCGUUUGUUUAAUUGGAGUUGGACUUUAAAGCUUUGAUUUAUUGUACGUGGAGGAGGCCACAUAACUAUAACCAAUAAAUUCAUGACACGUAAUUUAGGACACUUCUGGCAAACUAAUGACAUUUUAUAAUAGAGAUAUAUUUACCUCUUGUUCACUUUAGUUGUCACUUAUUCUUAAAAUAUAUAUUUUCAUUUUUACUUGUUACUUUUGAUAAGAAAAGACAAUAAUUUUUUCAUAUUUUAUCCUCAUUAUUAAAUAAUUAUUUUCUAAAUUAUUUUUAAGACAUCAUUUAAUAAGAAAUAGUUUGAUAAAAAUUAAUAUAUCAAUAAUUAUUUUUUUAAUGACUGUGUCAAAUCAAAUUGUGACAAGUAAAAGUGAACGAAUAGAGUAUUCUAUAAAAAAUUCCUAAAAAAUCAAUAUCCAUUUGUAUUGUAAACAAAUUUUGAAUUAUAUAAUUUAGAAAAUGUUCCAUUAUUGAUAACCAUAAACUCAUUUAUCUAUAUAGAUAAUAUAAAUAAGAGAUGAGUAGGAUAUAUAUAUAUAUAGUUAAUGCAAUAAUAUUAAAUGAUAAUAAUAAAAAAGAUAGUGUUUGAUUUUGUAAUAAAUUCAUAAAAUUAUUAUUCUAUUUAUAAUGUUAAAAUGAACCUAAACAAAAAUCUAUAAGUACAUAAAGUAAGAAACAAAAUAUGAUAUAUGAUACAAGAAGAUAUUGUAGAGAUGAAAAAUUAAAAUGUUAAAGGAUAAAAUAGAUAUUGUAUGAAGGGGGGUCUAUUUUUUUUAUAUUUUUUUUACCCUUCCUAGGAGCUUCCACCCCUUAUGCUCCCUUGGUGACUCGAAUUCGCAACCAUCGGGUUGGAAGUGAGGGUGCUUACCAUCCGAGUAACUCUCUCUCGUCAGGGGGAUCUAUUAUUCAAAGUUAAGAUGGAAAUUUGUUUUCCAACAAAGUUAGCGGUGUAAAUAAUUUUCACCCAAAAUAAUAGUGAUAAUUGCGAUAAUGAAGGGUUCCGAUGUUGUAGUGAUUAUUGUGGUGAUGAUAAUUGAUAGUGAUGGCUAUGAAGCUGAAUUAUAAGGCUUAAGUCAUCUACGUCCCCUUAAAGUUGUCUGCAUAAUUCACUUGGACACCACAACUAGGACUCGUACAUAUGGAACACCUAAAUUGUUCAAAACAUAUACCUAUUAAACACAAAACGUUGAUGUGGCGAAAUAAAUGUAACUCAUUGUUGUUGAGCGCGUGAAUGGAUUUUUUUUUUAAUUUUUAAAAAUAAAUUAGUGCUUAUUUUCUUGACACUUGGCAUGUAUUAAUUAAAUAACUAAAAACUCAUUUAAUUAAACAUUUAUCUCUUUAUUUAUAAUAGAAAAUAACUUCACACCCAUGUACGCGUACUCUUUUUCUUCUUCAACCCACCAUUUUAAAGACUUUAAAUUCUCUGCCUUUUGUUUUGUUCUUUUUUUUUUUCAUUUUUCGUUAUAAACAAACUAAUUGAAUUUGCAAGAAGAAGAAAAAAAAUCGGACCAUUGGAGUUAAAAAAGUUAGCCGACAUUCAUGCAUCUCCAUUGAAAUCAUGCAACCAUCACGAUUCAUUAAACUUAUUAAAAAUGAUGUAGAAAAUUGAUAUUCUUUUGAUUUCUCUUCAUCGUCGAUUUUGAAAUAAUUUAUCGGCAUUGAUUAUUUUCACAAAAAAUUCAAUAAUCACAGGAAGAAUAGAAUACAAUGGGUGAUGGGGAAGAAAAAAAAAGCAAAAGAUUAGGUGGGUGUAUUAGGGCUGGGGUGGGAGAUAUUUUCUUUUUUGUUAUCGUUGAGGAGUCGAUGGUGGAGUGACAGGGAAGAAGAAAGGGCAAUGGGUUAGGUGGGGCAAUUUUUUUUUCUUUUUUUAUUCUUUUUUUUUCAAUUUAAUUUUUCCAGAUUAUUAAAGGCUGAAAAUAUUUUUCAUUUUUCAAAAUUAAAAAUUUGGACCCAUGUGCCACGUGUCGUAGUUCUAAUCGUGAUUUUUUCAAGAAAAUGUAUGUGAAUUACACGCACAAUAUUUUUAAGGCUAGUUGUCAUUUUAUGUUCAAUAGAUAAAUAUUACUCCCUCUGUCCCAAUUUAUAUGACUUACUUUCCUUUUUAGUCAGUCCCAAAAAGAAUGACACAUUUCUAUUUUAAGUAACAAUUUGCCUAUAAAAUGUCUUUUUUACCCUUAAUGAAAUGAUUUAUAACCACACAAAUUUCUAUCAUUCAUUUUGGACCACAAGUUUUAAAAGUCUUUCCAUUUUUCUUAAAGUUUGUGCCAAAUCAAAGUACAUCAUAUAAAAUGGGACGGAGGGAGUAGUUAAUAUUAAAGUGUCUAAUACGUAAGAGUCCUAGUUGAGGUAUCUAAGUGAAUUAUGCGAACAACUUUAAGGAGCCGUGACUUAGCUUAUUCGAACGUUGUGAACUCAUUCCUGCUUUUGCAAUACCAGCGCAUCUUGUGCCACAGAAUCGGUUGUGCUCUGCCUGAAUUAUAAUGAUGGGAGGGUGAUGGUGGUUGUGAUGACAGAGAUGAUGAAAAUUAUCCAUACAAAAAAUACUUUUUAAUGAUAUUAAUGGUGGUAAAGACCAAAGAGGAAGCAUCAUGCAGCGAGCAAAGCAAAAACAUCUCCGCUUAAGUUACAAUUCCAUUCACAGUCUAAGAAACUCAUAACUAGAAAACUUUUCUAUAAACUUCAUUGCAUAGACAAACAAACAAGAAAACAAAGCUACAAUGUCAGUUUUUCCUUCAAGGAAGAAAGCUGUUGCCCAAAAAAAAUUUCCCAACUCAGCAAUGAGAUGUCUCUAGCCUUCUCUGCGGACAAAGUAGAGCUUACCCAUGACGUGAAGGAUUGCGACAAAAGCUAUGAAGCCAAUACUCAUUACAAGCACAACAUUGGGGGAUAUCUUGAGUCCGGGGGAAUCAUCAGUGUAGAAUUGGAGCAUGGUACCACCUGCUCCUCCUGCAGCCCCACCUGCUCCUCCGGUCUUCCUUCGACGUAGGUUAGCAGCUGCUGCUGCUGCAGUCCCCCUUUGCGGUCCACCUCCACCCAAAGCCAUUUCUAGUCACUGUUUCAAUGUAAUAAAUAAAAAAUCUUUAGUGGGAAGAAUCACAGGGAUCUUUUGCAAGUCCUCAAACAACUAACAAUCAAAUAAUAGCAGAAUUGAUAGACUAAGGGAAGAUAGUAACUAUUGCAUCUAGGCAUUUCAACAAUGCAUCAGUAUGGCGUUGUAUAUUUAUGCAUCACAACCUCUAAACUCUCAGAAAGGUACAUCAACUACCAGUCAAUUGCAAUCAACUCAAUCAUCAAAGUCGAAUUAAGCCACACAAUUGGAACAAACAGGGUAUUAUUUAAGAAAUUAGUCAGACAACAAUAAACGAAUUGUGAAAUAGCAGAAUUUUGAAUUAUUCACUUAAUACAGAUCUUCAAGAAUUUCAAACUAUACAACAUAUCAUAUGUAAUCCCACAAAUGGCGUGUGGUACUACUAAAAAAUAUUAACUAUUCAACAUUAUCAUACAACAUUGAAACCUAUGAAGAAAAGUAACAUGUACCAAAGAUAUGAUUGGGCCAGGGAAAAAGCCGAUACGUAAAUGCUCAGGAGAAUCAGACUGUACUCAAAUACAGUGCAUCCAGUUUUAUGAGAAAUUCUCAUUGAGAGGGGAAACGACAGCUAUAUUUAAGCAAGUGCUUGAUCUCAGAGAGUAUUCAGCGGAACCCCUCGACAAAAAAUAAUACAGCAUAUAUACAGUAAAUUUUAGCCUUUUAUGUAUAUAUACAAAACUAAAAAUUGAUUUAGAUUCAGUUCCAAGUUCAAAUCAUUGCAUUUUUAUUUUUCAAACCCCUUAAUGAGAAUCCUGGAUCCGCCACUACACUAACUAGCCAACGAAUCCCAAAGACUAUCACAAAAUGUUUGAAUUUAAAUUAAAAUCAUUGCACAAUUUGCAAAUCAUCAUUAUAAAUUGACAUCGCGGUUUCAAAAAAUUCCGAAAACUUGUUAAAUCUGAACAAAACCCUACCCGACCCGAAAGAUCAAAUGUCAAAGCCACCAGAUCAUAAAACAUCAACACAAUUCAAAACUCAAAAGUUUAGAUCCUUCCGAUUACAGAUCUCAACACAUGCGAAAUUCACUUUUUGUUAACAAAUCAAUUACAUAAACUUGCUCCAAUUAAAAUUUAAAAAAUUCACAAGAAAAAAUCAGUACAAAUCUAAUUAAAUCUGCAGGUAAGAAG
This 4678-nucleotide long non-coding RNA is filed under the name Solanum tuberosum (potato). RNAcentral's name for it is "long non-coding RNA (STUB_LNC005935)". Lineage: Eukaryota; Viridiplantae; Streptophyta; Magnoliopsida; Solanales; Solanaceae. The record is from RNAcentral.